Rhinolophus ferrumequinum (greater horseshoe bat) is the source of this 104-nucleotide small nuclear RNA. NCBI's taxonomy places the organism in Eukaryota, Metazoa, Chordata, Mammalia, Chiroptera, Rhinolophidae. The record is from Ensembl.
GUGCUCACUUCUGCAGCAUAUAUACUAAAAUUGGAACAAUACAGAGAUUAGCAUGGCCCCUGUGCAAUGAUGACACGCAAAUUCGUGAAGCAUUCUAUAUUUUU